RNAcentral lists this ribosomal RNA (468 nucleotides) under uncultured bacterium. RNAcentral describes it as "partial 16S ribosomal RNA". It matches the Rfam family "Bacterial small subunit ribosomal RNA", at positions 28 to 507 of the family's 1533-position model. The record is from RNAcentral.
GACGAACGCUGGCGGCGUGCUUAACACAUGCAAGUCGAACGGUGAUGCUCCAGCUUGCUGGAGUGGAUCAGUGGCGAACGGGUGAGUAACACGUGAGCAACCUGCCCCAGACUCUGGAAUAAGCGCUGGAAACGGCGUCUAAUACUGGAUACGAAACUGGCCCGCAUGGGCAUGGUUUGGAAAGUUUUUCGGUUUGGGAUGGGCUCGCGGCCUAUCAGCUUGUUGGUGAGGUAAUGGCUCACCAAGGCGACGACGGGUAGCCGGCCUGAGAGGGCGACCGGCCACACUGGGACUGAGACACGGCCCAGACUCCUACGGGAGGCAGCAGGGGGGAAUAUUGCACAAUGGGCGCAAGCCUGAUGCAGCGACGCCGCGUGAGGGAUGACGGCCUUCGGGUUGUAAACCUCUUUCAGCAGGGAAGAAGCGAAAGUGACGGUACCUGCAGAAGAAGCACCGGCUAACUACGUG